CAGUCAUACCAACGGGAAAUCAACCUUUUGAGCUCGGUCUCGUGGGUUUUGAAUAGUUUCAAAGCCUUCGGAUUCGCGAGAUUGGGAUCUCUCGGUGUACUUUCUCGUACGGUUAGUCAACAUCGUUUUGAAUGUCAUAAAAUGACUGGAGGAAUGUAGCUUCGAUCUCGUAUUGAAGUGUUAUAGCCUUUGGUAGAUGUGAUGUUUGAGACCGAGGAUUGCAACGGAUACCCUUCAGGGCUAUUCGUCUGAUCUCUGAUACGUUGCCUUGAUGUUGAAAGCUUGCUUAUGAUGUUAGGGUAUUACGGUCAAAAGGUUAGAACUCAUUAGA
This 331-nucleotide ribosomal RNA is filed under the name uncultured Glomus. RNAcentral's name for it is "eukaryotic LSU rRNA". Lineage: Eukaryota; Fungi; Glomeromycota; Glomeromycetes; Glomerales; Glomeraceae. The record is from RNAcentral. RNAcentral also lists the same sequence under 1 other name.